This 455-nucleotide long non-coding RNA is filed under the name Homo sapiens (human). Its description in RNAcentral is "LHRI_LNC173.1". The stretch from base 1 to 72 matches the Rfam family "tRNA". The record is from RNAcentral. Lineage: Eukaryota; Metazoa; Chordata; Mammalia; Primates; Hominidae.
CCGGUUAGCUCAGUUGGUUAGAGCGUGGUGCUAAUAACGCCAAGGUCGCGGGUUCGAUCCCCGUACGGGCCAGGAUUGAAACUUUUCGAAAGUACGAUUACUGCACUCCGUUUUAGAGCCAAGUAACGUCUCUGGGGAAAAACAGCGCCACAUUUCCAAUCCCAGAACAGGGAGCGUAUUGGAGCGCAUUCUAAAGUGGGCGUGUCUUGAGAGGAAGGGAUUGAGAGAAACCGGGGUUGUUUCGUGAUCUUUGCUUCUACAUCUUAUGGCCACAAUAUAUGGCUCCUGAACUUACUGUGUGAACUGUAAACAAAAGGCUUUGGGACAAAUUUGUCUCAAACCACGUGGCACUGAUCUGCAGAGUGUGGGAAAUGGUCAGGAAUAGAGCUGACAAGUGUUCCCAGUCUUCCCCCAGAGGUAAGAUGUCCGUCCAAUCCACCCAGCCCCUGCCUAUU